RNAcentral lists this transfer RNA (75 nucleotides) under Scytolyngbya sp. HA4215-MV1. RNAcentral describes it as "tRNA-Leu". It matches the Rfam family "tRNA". From Rfam's summary of the family: Transfer RNA (tRNA) molecules are approximately 80 nucleotides in length. Their secondary structure includes four short double-helical elements and three loops (D, anti-codon, and T loops). Further hydrogen bonds mediate the characteristic L-shaped molecular structure. tRNAs have two regions of fundamental functional importance: the anti-codon, which is responsible for specific mRNA codon recognition, and the 3' end, to which the tRNAs corresponding amino acid is attached (by aminoacyl-tRNA synthetases). tRNAs cope with the degeneracy of the genetic code in two manners: having more than one tRNA (with a specific anti-codon) for a particular amino acid; and 'wobble' base-pairing, i.e. permitting non-standard base-pairing at the 3rd anti-codon position. RNAcentral also lists the same sequence under 1 other name. The record is from RNAcentral. Lineage: Bacteria; Bacillati; Cyanobacteriota; Cyanophyceae; Leptolyngbyales; Leptolyngbyaceae.
GCCCCUGUGAUGCAACUGGUAGACGUGUUCGGCUCAAACCCGGAAUUUUUGCGAGUUCAAAUCUCGCCAGGGGUA